This 429-nucleotide ribosomal RNA is filed under the name Actinomycetes bacterium. Its description in RNAcentral is "Actinobacteria bacterium partial 16S ribosomal RNA". It matches the Rfam family "Bacterial small subunit ribosomal RNA", at positions 355 to 776 of the family's 1533-position model. Lineage: Bacteria; Bacillati; Actinomycetota; Actinomycetes. The record is from RNAcentral.
UAGGGAAUCUUCCGCAAUGGGCGAAAGCCUGACGGAGCAACGCCGCGUGAGUGAUGAAGGUCUUCGGAUCGUAAAACUCUGUUAUUAGGGAAGAACAAAUGUGUAAGUAACUAUGCACGUCUUGACGGUACCUAAUCAGAAAGCCACGGCUAACUACGUGCCAGCAGCCGCGGUAAUACGUAGGUGGCAAGCGUUAUCCGGAAUUAUUGGGCGUAGAGCGCGCGUAGGCGGUUUUUUAAGUCUGAUGUGAAAGCCCACGGCUCAACCGUGGAGGGUCAUUGGAUACUGGAUAACUUGAGUGCAGAAGAGGAAAGUGGAAUUCCAUGUGUAGCGGUGAAAUGCGCAGAGAUAUGGAGGAACACCAGUGGCGAAGGCGACUUUCUGGUCUGUAACUGACGCUGAUGUGCGAAAGCGUGGGGAUCAAACAGG